Molecule: long non-coding RNA, 1082 nt
Organism: Marmota flaviventris (yellow-bellied marmot)
Lineage: Eukaryota; Metazoa; Chordata; Mammalia; Rodentia; Sciuridae
Source: RefSeq, a predicted model, not a curated record
CAGUGGUUAAGCACCCCUGAGUUCAAUCCCUGAUGAAGGAAAGAAAGAAAGAAAGCUCCCAGAUGGCUGAGCACGUGGAAGCAGCCCCUGCCCACACUCACUCUGCAGCUCUUUAUCUGCAUCCUGUGUGAAAAAAACAGAAGAUGCCAGUGACAGCAGGACUUCCCGAGUCCUUGAAGCACGCCGUAAAAUCAACAACCCCAACCAGAGGUCGUGAGGACAGACUUACAGCUGGGGGGUCAGAGCACAGGUUCUGCUCAGACUAGACACCAACCUCGCCAGCCUUGGGGACAGUGGGACACGGCUGAUGCUAUGGAACAUUACAGAACAGGGAAGAACCAGUUCCAGCCACAGAGGAGCCACCUGGGCCACAGUUCACCUGGACUCAUGACCACCCUGUUGUAGAUGCCCUAGGGAAACCCCCACCUGCCAGUACCAUCUGGCCUGACCCAUUCCAGCCCUGGCCACAACCAGCUCACACAAGACGUGAAGGAAGGUGGUCCUAUCUUCAGGAGGGACCCAGUACUUCCUGGGAAGAUCCCCGGUACUCCUCCUACUCACUCACCAGAGCCCAGUUCUCCCCACCCCCCAGGAGGACCCCUACCCACUGUUCCCAUGGCAAGCUGACCCGCCGUCAUUUCUCCCAGCUUUUCCUCAUUCUGGGGCCAAGAACAAACCCCCUCACUGUUCAGUCAACUCUUGGUUUAUAACUGGAAUCCACAAACCCAGUUUGGGGGUCAGAGAUUGCUAAUGGGGGAAGAGGUGAGGGAAGUCAAGCCACCACCAACAGCCCCUCCAGGUGUGCUGAGACCCUGGAAGCCUCACCUCAGAGGCGGAGCAACAGCUCACAACAGCCCUCCUGUCCCCAACCUCCGCCUUCCUGUUACCCCUCACCUACAGCCAUGAGGGUGGCAGGUACACACCUUACGUCUUCCUUCCCAAGUCUCCAUCAGAGCACGCUUGGCCCAGGCCCGGCAGACCACCCGCUGCCACUCAGGCCCUGGGGACGUCGUGGGACCUUUUUGCCAGGCCUGGCCUUCUCUGACCAAUGGCAGCAGCAGCUGAAUAAACACUUUAGUCCA